Molecule: long non-coding RNA, 2156 nt
Organism: Magallana angulata
Lineage: Eukaryota; Metazoa; Mollusca; Bivalvia; Ostreida; Ostreidae
Exons: 5
Source: RefSeq, a predicted model, not a curated record
UAGAAUCACAUGAUGAUGAUGAUGAUGAUCAGAGCUAUACUGACAUCUGGACAAAGAGCAAAAGUGGAUCGAGGCCUGGAUUCACAGUUUAAAGAUUGAAAGUUUUUGUGAACAGAAUUUAGGUUAGCAGCAUAGAAAAAUCACUGCAUGCAGACCUUUCAACUCUGGAAAAGAAACCUUGGAUACGCAAGACCUUGUUGAGGCCAGGGGCAAGAAAUAGCAAGCAGUCUACCUGACCUACAACUGUGAAAUUCACUACAUUGCAUUUUCAAUACAGACACAUUUUGCCGGAAAACGAAUCUGACUUCACAUUAUGAAAUUUUAACAAGAGAGAGGCAAUUUGAUGAGCUUUCAUUCAAGAGGUCCCUCGUUGCUGAACGAAAAUUAAGGCUUUGGAGCUAUGAACCUGAACGUUAACAUUACCGCCUAUGGAAAUGCAUUAGUGGACUAUACCAAUAUUGAACUCCAUGCUGAUACCUUGAAUAUUGGAUUGGAACUUCAUCAAAGAUUAAAACACAACAAUGAGGCACACUAGAUAGACUUUCAGUACAGACUUCACACCAUAAAAUUUUAACAGGAAAGAGGCAAUUUGAUGAGCUUUCAUUCAAGAGGUCCCUCGUUGCUGAACGAAAAAUAGGGCCGGAGCUAUGAACCGGAAUGUUUACAAUACCGCCUAUGGAAAAUGCAUCAGUGGACUAUACUCAGGCGUUUCAUGUGGAUAGUAAGGUAGAGAGCAUUGCAGGAAAAAUACACAGCUAGUGUUAGAAAGCGUUUAAUGGGUUUUACCAUCAGAAAAAUCUGGUAAUUGAAGUGGUGAAAUGACGGGCGGUUGCCAAAAGGGUACCCCUUUGUCUGGACAACUCAUACAGUUUUCAAGAUAUUAAGGUUUUUUGUUUUGCAGAUCAAUUGUAUAUAUAAUCGAGAUAUGCAUUAUUGCUAGGAUUUUAACUUUAUAAAUUUUUGCAAAAAAUACCCACUUUUGAACUAGUCAUUUGCUUAUACAUGUAGGGUACAUCUUUUGUGCAAAUAACUCCUCCCAACAGUUUUGAAGAUAGGGAUAUCUUAAUUUUGCAGAUUAAUUGUACAAUCUCAACCCCCAUAAACUUGAAAUGAUGACCAAAUAUCUUAAAAACAAAUGGGAUCUUCACCCCUAAACAAUAAAUAUUCUUGUUCAUUGUGUAGGUCAUGACCUUAGAGGGUGGUUAUGAAGAUAAACAUUUACAUUUUUCUUCAAUACAGAAUGUUGAUACAGGAAAAACAUUCGAUAUUUUUAUUUUAUAUAUUAUAUAUAGCAACAAGAGUAAAAUGGUCAAACAAGAGGAAAAGGAAGUAAGGGAAUAUUUUUCAGACUGUUGCACAUCAAAUACACUCCCAUGAAUGAAAAUGUGCCCAAGACUUACAGAAUGUAACUAAAAGUGCAGAAGAAUAUUGUGGAAAAGGAUAUAUGGGAGACCAUAAAGAAAAAAUAUGGAAUGACCUUAAGAGAGUUAAAAAGUAAUAAAUUUGCUAAGAUUUGCACUUUUGAUUGAGUUAUGUCUUAGUGUACAUAUAACUUUGAUGAAAUUGUUAAUAAUAUAUGUGUGUGCUCAUAGAAAAGAACGUCACGCAUAUGCAUUGUAAUACCAGUAAAUAUUGUAUUGAAAUUGUUGAUCAUGUUAAGAUUUUCAAAGUUUAUGAUGAGUUAAGGUAUGUGAAUUGUAAUUCCACACAUACAAAAAUCUUUGUCACUGUUUUAAAAAAAAACCCCGAAAUGUACCAGUAUGUGGAUAUGAACAUUUUUUGAAUAUUUUUGGAUGUGUAUUUUUAUGAGUCAGCCAAUAACUGUUGAAUAUUUAAACUUUCUCUGCAUUUUUGUAUGCGAGCUGAAUAUUAUGCCAGUUUUAAGGUUUAUGAAAUGGUCUGUUUGAUCUUCUUAACCAUACAUGUAAGAUGUCUGACAAUCUUUCUGCAAGAUUUGAUAAAUUUGUGUACAUGCAUAUGCAUUUGUGUAUAUUACAUAUUUGAUGAUAAUUGUUGAAAUUGUUGAUAAUGUUGAGAUUUUCAAAGUUUAUGACAGUUAUGUAAAUUGAUUAAUUUUGAGUUUAUGAUCAUAAAUUGUUGUUUAAAGUUCCUUUAAGUUGUUGUUUUUCACUUUCCUUAAUAAAAUAUUAAUGAUG